Molecule: ribosomal RNA, 172 nt
Filed under: uncultured bacterium
Lineage: Bacteria
Description: partial 16S ribosomal RNA
Rfam family: Bacterial small subunit ribosomal RNA
Source: RNAcentral
ACUCCUACGGAAGGCAGCAGUGGGGAAUAUUGCACAAUGGGGGAAACCCUGAUGCAGCGACGCCGCGUGAGCGAUGAAGUAUUUCGGUAUGUAAAGCUCUAUCAGCAGGGAAGAAAAUGACGGUACCUGACUAAGAAGCACCGGCUAAAUACGUGCCAGCAGCCGCGGUAAU